RNAcentral lists this long non-coding RNA (538 nucleotides) under Elaeis guineensis (African oil palm). RNAcentral describes it as "long non-coding RNA (EGUI_LNC079046)". The record is from RNAcentral. Lineage: Eukaryota; Viridiplantae; Streptophyta; Magnoliopsida; Arecales; Arecaceae.
GAUGGCCGGUGAGGAGUCUAAAACCAUGGGAAGAAAGAAAAGAGAGAGAGGAAGAAAGAUUGAACCCUUACCUGAACUCCGAUGGCUUCUUCGAUCUUCGAUUUUCGAUGAAUACAAGAAGAGGGUGCCGCGGCUUCCAAGGGUAAAAGAGAGGAAUUUGAGCUCAACGAUUGCUGGUAGAGGAUCGAGAGGGAGAGGGGAGGCUUAUUUAUAGAGGGUCCUAGAGUUUCAAGAGUCUUAGAACCUUUCUCCAAUCAAGAUUCAUUAGAGGGAGUCUUCUUCCCAUUUUCUAUUUUAUUUAUUUAUUUAUUUAUUUAUUUUGGUAUGGGCUUUGGGCGUUUGGGCUUGGUUCAGGUCCAAAUGGGCCGGGUGUUACAAAAUAUAAAUUAUUUAAAUGAUUAGCAUUGACUAUUGGCAGAACUCAAUAGUUUGGAAUCAAGUUGUCGAUGCUGUUAUUAAUACACCCCAUACUUCCAGGAGCGACAAGGCAUUCAAAACACAUCCCAUUGUUUCAGGAGCAACUAGCCAUUCAAAACAC